AUUGAACGCUGGCGGCAGGCUUAACACAUGCAAGUCGAGCGGGGUGAUGGUGCUUGCACUAUCACUUAGCGGCGGACGGGUGAGUAAUGCUUAGGAAUCUGCCUAUUAGUGGGGGACAACAUCUCGAAAGGGAUGCUAAUACCGCAUACGUCCUACGGGAGAAAGCAGGGGAUCACUUGUGACCUUGCGCUAAUAGAUGAGCCUAAGUCGGAUUAGCUAGUUGGUGGGGUAAGGGCCUACCAAGGCGACGAUCUGUAGCGGGUCUGAGAGGAUGAGCCGCCACACUGGGACUGAGGCACGGCCCAGACUCCUACGGGAGGCAGCAGUGGGGAAUAUUGGACAUGGGGGGAACCCUGAUCCAGCCAUGCCGCGUGUGUGAAGAAGGCCUUAUGGUUGUAAAGCACUUUAAGCGAGGAGGAGGCUCUUUUGGUUAAUACCCAAGAUGAGUGGACGUUACUCGCAGAAUAAGCACCGGCUAACUCUGUGCCAGCCGCCGCUGUAA
This 502-nucleotide ribosomal RNA is filed under the name uncultured bacterium. RNAcentral's name for it is "partial 16S ribosomal RNA". It matches the Rfam family "Bacterial small subunit ribosomal RNA", at positions 30 to 523 of the family's 1533-position model. The record is from RNAcentral.